UACGAAGGGGGCUAGCGUUGCUCGGAAUCACUGGGCGUAAAGGGCGCGUAGGCGGCCGAUUAAGUCGGGGGUGGAAAGCCUGUGGCUCAACCACAGAAUUGCCUCGAUACUGGUUGGCUUGAGACCGGAAGAGGACAGCGGAACUGCGAGUGUAGAGGUGAAAUUCGUAGAUAUUGGGAAGAACACCGGUGGCGAAGGCGGCUCACUGGCUCGUAUCUGACGCUCAGGCGCGACAGCGUGGGGAUCGAAACAAGG
This 255-nucleotide ribosomal RNA is filed under the name uncultured bacterium. RNAcentral describes it as "partial 16S ribosomal RNA". It matches the Rfam family "Bacterial small subunit ribosomal RNA", at positions 524 to 777 of the family's 1533-position model. The record is from RNAcentral.